GAGGGUAUAGCUGAGUCUCAGAGUGUGUGCUUGGCAUCCAUAAGGUCCUAGGUUCAAUCCCCAGUACCUCCA
Molecule: transfer RNA, 72 nt
Filed under: Camelus bactrianus (Bactrian camel)
Lineage: Eukaryota; Metazoa; Chordata; Mammalia; Artiodactyla; Camelidae
Also listed under: 2 other names
Rfam family: tRNA
About the family: Transfer RNA (tRNA) molecules are approximately 80 nucleotides in length. Their secondary structure includes four short double-helical elements and three loops (D, anti-codon, and T loops). Further hydrogen bonds mediate the characteristic L-shaped molecular structure. tRNAs have two regions of fundamental functional importance: the anti-codon, which is responsible for specific mRNA codon recognition, and the 3' end, to which the tRNAs corresponding amino acid is attached (by aminoacyl-tRNA synthetases). tRNAs cope with the degeneracy of the genetic code in two manners: having more than one tRNA (with a specific anti-codon) for a particular amino acid; and 'wobble' base-pairing, i.e. permitting non-standard base-pairing at the 3rd anti-codon position.
Source: Rfam by way of RNAcentral